GAUGAACGCUGGCGGCGUGCCUAAUACAUGCAAGUCGAGCGAACAGAUGAGGAGCUUGCUCCUCUGACGUUAGCGGCGGACGGGUGAGUAACACGUGGAUAACCUACCUAUAAGACUGGGAUAACUUCGGGAAACCGGAGCUAAUACCGGAUAAUAUAUUGAACCGCAUGGUUCAAUAGUGAAAGACGGUUUUGCUGUCACUUAUAGAUGGAUCCGCGCCGCAUUAGCUAGUUGGUAAGGUAACGGCUUACCAAGGCAACGAUGCGUAGCCGACCUGAGAGAGUGGUCGGCCACACUGGAACGUGAACAGGCACAAGGCGCCUGAGAGACGGAGCAGAAGGGAACCGGACGCAACGGGGGAAAGUCUGACGGAGCAGGGGGACGUGAGAUAUGGAAGUGUCGGGAGCGGAAUAAUCGGCUACUAGGGGAGAACAAAUGUGUAAGUUACUAUGCACGGCUUGACGGUAACGGGUAAGAAAGCCACGGCUAACUACGUG
RNAcentral lists this ribosomal RNA (497 nucleotides) under uncultured bacterium. Its description in RNAcentral is "partial 16S ribosomal RNA". It matches the Rfam family "Bacterial small subunit ribosomal RNA", at positions 28 to 507 of the family's 1533-position model. The record is from RNAcentral.